Molecule: ribosomal RNA, 460 nt
Filed under: uncultured bacterium
Lineage: Bacteria
Description: partial 16S ribosomal RNA
Rfam family: Bacterial small subunit ribosomal RNA
Source: RNAcentral
CCUACGGGUGGCUGCAGUGAGGAAUAUUGGUCAAUGGCCGUAAGGCUGAACCAGCCAAGUCGCGUGAAGGACGAAGGAUCUAUGGUUUGUAAACUUCUUUUAUAAAGGAAUAAAGUUAUCCACGUGUGCCUAUUUGCAUGUACCCUAUGAAUAAGCAUCGGCUAACUCCGUGCCAGCAGCCGCGGUAAUACGGAGGAUGCGAGCGUUAUCCGGAUUUAUUGGGUUUAAAGGGUGCGUAGGUGGUUUUUUAAGUCAGCGGUGAAAGUUUGUGGCUCAACCAUAAAAUUGCCGUUGAAACUGGAAGCCUUGAGUGGGUUUGAGGUAGGCGGAAUGCGUGGUGUAGCGGUGAAAUGCAUAGAUAUCACGCAGAACUCCGAUUGCGAAGGCAGCUUACUAAGCCAUAACUGACACUGAAGCACGAAAGUGUGGGGAUCAAACAGGAUUAGAUACCCUUGUAGUC